This is a long non-coding RNA of Etheostoma spectabile (orangethroat darter), 82 nucleotides long. RefSeq lists it as uncharacterized. The transcript is spliced from 3 exons. The record is from RefSeq and is a predicted model, not a curated record. Lineage: Eukaryota; Metazoa; Chordata; Actinopteri; Perciformes; Percidae.
GAGAUGCUAAUUUAGAUUUUUGUUUUCUGACCAAUAGCCGACCCUCGUUAACCAAUCAUUAACCCAAAAUUAAAUUUCAAUU